RNAcentral lists this unclassified non-coding RNA (160 nucleotides) under uncultured Ascomycota. Its description in RNAcentral is "sequence contains ITS1". Lineage: Eukaryota; Fungi; Ascomycota. The record is from RNAcentral.
AAGAGAACAUGCCCUUCGGGGUAGAUCUCCCACCCUUUGUUUAUAUACCUUUGUUGCUUUGGCAGGCCCGCCCUUGGGCCGCCGGCUUUGGCUGGCCAGCGCCUGCCAGAGGCCCCAAAACUCUUAUUAUCAAUGUCGUCUGAGUACUAUAUAAUAGUUA